AUGGAGCCGUUGUGGGUUUUCGUUGGUGCAUUAUUGGCAGCCACAGCAGUUCAUGUCGCCGGUCAGCAAGAAGGUUUCCUGAGCAUCGACUGCGCCCUGGAUGCCAAAUUCAACGGACGCAGAGACACCUACACAAACAUCGCCUACGUCUCCGACGAUCCGUACGUUGACGGCGGGAAGAACCAUAGGGUAGCCGCCGAGUUCGAUGACAGUUCUACAGCCGAGAACCUCCGCACACUCAGGAGCUUCCCGUCUGGCUUACGGAACUGCUAUACCCUCCCAACCGAGAGCGGUGGCAAGUACCUGGUCCGGAUGGUGUUCUUACACGGGGAAUACGACGGGAAGACCAGUCCGUCGUUCGAGGUACACUUGGGCAGCAACUACUGGGACACGUUCCGGAACAAUGACUACUGGUGGUCCGAAGCGGUCUUCGUCGCGUGGGCGAGCUGGGUGCCGUUGUGCCUAGUGAACACCGGCGGCGGCACGCCAUUUGUGAACACGGUGGAGCUGAGGCCGCUCUUACCCUCGCUUUACCCCCAGGUCACUGUCAACGAGUCGAUAUCCGCCUUUGCAAGGAGAAAUCUGGGGGCAAACACUAGUUACCGGUUUCCCGACGAUCCAUAUGACCGCUUCUGGGGAUGGAAAGUCAGCUCGUUGUGGGCAAACCUUUCCACCAAAGAGACCAUCCAGCAGGAAGACAACUACGCUGUGCCCAUCCCUGUUCUUCGGACAGCCGUCGCUCCUGUCAACAAUGCCACGGUGCUAAACCUCGGUACAUGGGAAACGUACAAAAGUUCAUUCGAGUUUAAAAAUUUUCUACACUUCUCCGACAUCCAAAACACCCAGCUCCGACAGUUCGACAUCUACUUGAACGACCAUGAGUGGUACAAGAAAUACAGCCCCCCGUAUCUGAUCGCUCAUUCUCUGUAUUCUAUUGGCUGGUACAAGGCUAUAGAAGGCACGUACAAUAUUACUCUUGCAGCCACCAAUGCAUCUGUGCUGCCUCCGAUGAUCAACGCAUACGAGAUCUUCAACCUCAUCCCCCACGACACUCCGAGGACGUCCCCCAAAGACUUCGACACAAUGAUGGCUAUCAAACUCGAGUACGGAGUAAAGAAAAACUGGAUGGGUGAUCCAUGCUUUCCUGCCAACUAUCGUUGGAGUGGCGUGAACUGUAGCGGCGUAACUGCUAACACAACGCGGAUAAUAUCUGUGGAUCUGUCAGACAGUAACUUGACUGGAGUGAUAUCUGAUAACUUCACACUGCUCACAGAACUCCGAUAUCUGGAUUUAUCUGGCAACAGUCUGAAUGGACCAGUUCCAAAGUCCCUCUGUAAAAGGAGUGCAGGAUCACUCAUUUUCAGGUAUCAAUCUGAUGAAGAUAUGUGCAACAAAACAACAAUAAGUCCGCCUCCAUCAAAAAAUAGAACAGCCAUAAUAUCUAUUUCAAUAGUGGUUCCCAUGUUGGUAGUGGCUAUACUUGUUCUGGCAUGUUUGAUCUGGAGGGGAAGGAGAAAGCCCAAAAUUUCUACACAUGAUCCUCCCAGGGAACCAGAACUUCAGAGUGCUCCUGAAAGUAGAAAAAGUAAUGGGGAUCAGCUACAAAAUACUGAGAACCGCCGAUUCACAUACAAGGAGCUAGAGAAGUUUACUGAUAAAUUCCAACGGUGCAUUGGUAAAGGAGGUUUUGGACUCGUGUACUACGGCCGUUUAGAAGACAAUGCUGAGGUUGCUGUCAAGAUGCGUUCUGAAUCAUCAUCACAUGGACUUGAUGAGUUUUUAGCCGAGGUCAAUAGCUUGACAAAGGUGCAUCACAGGAACCUAGUUUCUUUGGUUGGUUACUGCUGGGAGAAGGACCAUUUAGCACUGGUUUAUGAGUACAUGUCCCAGGGCAAUCUUUGUGAUCAUCUGAGAGGGAAAAAUGGUGCUGGUGAAACCUUAAGUUGGGCGACACGUGUACGAAUCGUGCUCGAAGCUGCACAAGGCCUGGAUUAUCUGCACAAGGGAUGUAGCUUGCCAAUAAUUCACCGGGAUGUGAAAACCAACAACAUUCUCCUAGGUCAUAAUCUAAAGGCGAAAAUAGCUGAUUUUGGACUUUGCAAGACCUAUCUUAGUGACAUGCAGACCCACAUAUCAACCAAUGCGGCUGGGACAGCAGGUUACAUGGACCCCGAGUACUAUCACACUGGCUGGCUCACUGAAAGCAGCGAUGUCUAUAGCUUCGGUGUUGUUCUACUUGAGGUAGCAACCGGUGAACCUCCGGUACUGCCGGGCCAUGGCCACAUCGUUCAACGUGUGAAGCAGAAGAUUGCCACUGGCAACAUCACCACGGUGGCAGAUGCACACCUUGGAGGUGAAUAUGAUGUCAACUCCAUGUGGAAACUGGUCGACACCGCAAUGGCAUGCACAGCGGAUGCUGCUGUCCGAAGGCCAACAAUGGCUGCCGUUGUGGCGCAGCUGAAAGAGAGCCUUGCGUUGGAGGAAGGUCGUGAGGACAGUAGCAUCAGGGGAAGCAUAGUGAGUACUACUUCUGCCCCGAUGUCCGCGUUCGGUCCAUCAGCAAGAUAA
This 2568-nucleotide ribosomal RNA is filed under the name Triticum aestivum (bread wheat). RNAcentral describes it as "partial small subunit ribosomal RNA". The record is from RNAcentral. Lineage: Eukaryota; Viridiplantae; Streptophyta; Magnoliopsida; Poales; Poaceae.